UCGAAUCUUUGUAUGAUAGUAACAUUUAUCAGCUAUAAUACCUUAUAGCUCGGGUUAGGUGACCAAAUUGGGUAUAAGGUGUUACAAAAUAAAACAACAUCGUACAACAAAAUAAAAAUAAAAAUAAAACAAAAAUAGAAAAAUGAAACAAGCAAACUCUAAAGAAAAAAGAUACAAAUAGAAAGGAACACUAAAAUCCCAGCCGCCUCUAAUGACCUCUCCCUGGCCAAAUCCAACCAUGCAAAGGAAAAGAGAAGUUCCCAGCACCAACCUGUCAAUGCUAUUAUAAAAAGAAAACCGAACGAUCAGCACCAUCGGCAGGACCAACAACCCGUCAUCCACACCCAACUAGCUAAUGAAAAGAUAGAUGCCCGCAAAAGAUAAGGCUGAAGCAAGCUCCCUAACCGAUAAACUCCAAGCCAACCCACUAGGCACCCAACCCAAAAACCACCCAACCGCAAUCCACCACAGUCGCAUGCACCACUGAAUAGAUCCAAGCCCGACACCUCAUUGCUGCAGGCGCACUGGGCCAAAAGAGAAACCAGAACAAAAUGCCCACAUGCCGACCCAGGGACCAGAUCCCCAUCGGUGGAUAUGAGAAAACCAAAAGAUUGAGACCCCCACUAAUUUUUUAUCAUCUAUUGUACCACCCGCCCCAAUCCAUGUUGCUCACCUCCUGGAGCCCUCACCCCUGCGCAACAACUAUAGUUAGGCACACCAACCGACCACCCUUUCUUCUUCCACAAUGUCCUGUAUCUCCAGUGGGCCAUCCUCCACCCACCAAGCAUCACAACGACUAGUGAAACCUUCUCUGGCCAUCAAGUGAGCAAUCCAAUUACCCCCACGUCUAAUGUGUUGAUAUGUGCGCUUCUCAAAAGCUAAAGCCAACUGUUGUGACUCUUUGAUAUACGGACUAAUCUCUGAUUGGUCAAUACUGGCAGACUAGACUUUCG
RNAcentral lists this long non-coding RNA (953 nucleotides) under Gossypium barbadense (sea-island cotton). Its description in RNAcentral is "long non-coding RNA (GBAR_LNC017306)". Lineage: Eukaryota; Viridiplantae; Streptophyta; Magnoliopsida; Malvales; Malvaceae. The record is from RNAcentral.